This 484-nucleotide ribosomal RNA is filed under the name uncultured bacterium. Its description in RNAcentral is "partial 16S ribosomal RNA". It matches the Rfam family "Bacterial small subunit ribosomal RNA", at positions 30 to 507 of the family's 1533-position model. The record is from RNAcentral.
AUUGAACGCUGGCGGCAGGCCUAACACAUGCAAGUCGAGCGGUAGAGAGAAGCUUGCUUCUCUUGAGAGCGGCGGACGGGUGAGUAAUGCCUAGGAAUCUGCCUGGUAGUGGGGGAUAACGUUCGGAAACGGACGCUAAUACCGCAUACGUCCUACGGGAGAAAGCAGGGGACCUUCGGGCCUUGCGCUAUCAGAUGAGCCUAGGUCGGAUUAGCUAGUUGGUGGGGUAAUGGCUCACCAAGGCGACGAUCCGUAACUGGUCUGAGAGGAUGAUCAGUCACACUGGAACUGAGACACGGUCCAGACUCCUACGGGAGGCAGCAGUGGGGAAUAUUGGACAAUGGGCGAAAGCCUGAUCCAGCCAUGCCGCGUGUGUGAAGAGGGUCUUCGGAUUGUAAAGCACUUUAAGUUGGGAGGAAGGGCAGUAAAUUAAUACUUUGCUGUUUUGACGUUACCGACAGAAUAAGCACCGGCUAACUCUGUG